RNAcentral lists this signal recognition particle RNA (256 nucleotides) under bacterium. RNAcentral's name for it is "signal recognition particle sRNA large type". It matches the Rfam family "Bacterial large signal recognition particle RNA". From Rfam's summary of the family: The signal recognition particle (SRP) is a universally conserved ribonucleoprotein involved in the co-translational targeting of proteins to membranes. Archaeal SRP consists of a 7S RNA and homologues of the eukaryotic SRP19 and SRP54 proteins. RNAcentral also lists the same sequence under 1 other name. The record is from RNAcentral.
CCGUACUAGACGGGGAGUUAGCGCCUCCCUGAACUCGGAGCUAUAUCGAGGUCGAAUUCCUUUUUGAGGCCCUUGUGGCGGAUCGGGUCCGUUUCAUGGACCGGCCUAUUGGGUCCCACGCAACGCGAUGCCGUGAACUCCGUCAGGACGGGAACGUAGCAGCGGUAAGCGGAACGUUCGCGUGUGCCGUGGAUUGCCUGGUGGAUCGGUUUGGGAAAAACGCCGGGAAACCAUGGGGUCGAGGGAAGGUGUACGG